AUUGAACGCUGGCGGCAGGCUUAACACAUGUAAGUCGAACGAGUGGCGGACGGGUGAGUAAUGCUUGGGAAACUAGCUCAUGGUGGGGGAUAACUACGGGAAACUGUAGCUAAUACCGCGUACCAUAGGAAGAGCCCAAGUGGGAUUAGGUAGUUGGUGAGGUAAAGGCUCACAAAGCCGACGAUCUCUAGCUGGUGUGAGAGGAUGACCAACCACACUGCGACUGAGACCCGGCCCAGACUCCUGCGGAAGGCAGCAGUGGAGAAUAUUGCGCAAUGGGGGCAACCUGACGCAGCCAUGCCGCAUGAAUGAAGAAGGCCUUCGGAUUGUAAAGUUCUUUCGGUAGCGAGGCGUUAACUACAGAAUAAGCACCGGCUAACUCCGUGACGACCGCCGCGGUAAUUC
This 405-nucleotide ribosomal RNA is filed under the name uncultured bacterium. Its description in RNAcentral is "partial 16S ribosomal RNA". It matches the Rfam family "Bacterial small subunit ribosomal RNA", at positions 30 to 526 of the family's 1533-position model. The record is from RNAcentral.